Molecule: long non-coding RNA, 451 nt
Organism: Myotis davidii
Lineage: Eukaryota; Metazoa; Chordata; Mammalia; Chiroptera; Vespertilionidae
Exons: 3
Source: RefSeq, a predicted model, not a curated record
GAACAGGUUUUUGUGUGACCAUAAAUUUUCAUGUUCUUGGGAUAAAGGUCCAGGAGAAAGCAGGUCAUAAAACCCUUAUGUGAGAGGUGCCUCCCUUAUACCUGGAGGAAAGGAGCAUCCCUAUCUCUGAAGAUAAAAGGCUGCUAAGAAGAAUCCUAAUAAACAGGCCUUGCACUGAUGCACCAGCACUCUGCACCUGCCCUCCCAGCACUGAUGCACCAGCACUCUGCACCUGCCCUCCCAGCACUGAUGCACCAGCACUCUGCACCUGCCCUCCCAGCACUGAUGCACCAGCACUCUGCACCUGCUCUCCCAGCACUGAUGCACCAGCACUCUGCACCUGCCUGCCCAGCACUGAUGCACCAGCUCUCUGCACCUGCCUGCCCAGCACUCUGCACCUGCCUCCCAGCACUGAUGCACCAGCACUCUGCACCUGCCUGCCCAGCACUGA